GCCUGUUCGAGCGUCAUUACAACCCUCAAGCUCUGCUUGGUAUUGGACGUCACAUAUUGUGCGUCUUUAAAUCAGUGGCGGUGCUAUAUAGUUCCAGCGUAGUAGAUAUCUCGCUGUGGAUAUUUAUAUAGGUACUUGCCAGCAACCCUAUUCUUUAAAAGGUUGACCUCGGAUCAGGUAGGGAUACCCGCUGAACUUAA
Molecule: unclassified non-coding RNA, 200 nt
Filed under: soil metagenome
Description: partial contains internal transcribed spacer 2 and large subunit ribosomal RNA
Source: RNAcentral